AGAGUUUGAUCCUGGCUCAGAUUGAACGCUGGCGGUAUGCCUAACACAUGCAAGUCGAACGAGGUAGCAAUACCUAGUGGCGGACGGGUGAGGAAUACGUAGGGAUCUGCCCUUAAGUGGGGGAUAACCCGGGGAAACCCGGAUUAAUACCGCAUGAUCUCGCAAGAGCAAAGAGGGGGACCGCAAGGCCUCUCGCUUUUGGAGGAACCUACGUCGGAUUAGCUAGUUGGUGAGGUAAUGGCUCACCAAGGCGACGAUCCGUAACUGGUCUGAGAGGAUGAUCAGUCACGCCGGAACUGAGACACGGUCCGGACUCCUACGGGAGGCAGCAGUGGGGAAUAUUGGACAAUGGGUGAAAGCCUGAUCCAGCAAUACCGCGUGUGUGAAGAAGGCCUUCGGGUUGUAAAGCACUUUAAGUUGGGAAGAAAAAGCUUCACCUAAUACGUGAAGCCUUGACGGUACCGACAGAAUAAGCACCGGCUAACUCCGUGCCAGCAGCCGCGGUAAUACAGAGGGUGCUAGCGUUAAUCGGAUUUACUGGGCGUAAAGCGUGCGUAGGUGGUUUGAUAAGUCGAUUGUGAAAGCCCCGGGCUUAACCUGGGAAUUGCGGUCGAUACUGUCAGACUCGAAAACGGUAGAGGGAGGUGGAACUCCAGGUGUAGCGGGAAAUGCGUAGAUAUCUGGAAGAACACCGAUGGCGAAGGCAGCUUCCUGGGCCUGUUUUGACACUGAGGCACGAAAGCGUGGGUAGCAAACAGGAUUAGAUACCCCGGUAGUCC
This 779-nucleotide ribosomal RNA is filed under the name uncultured bacterium. RNAcentral describes it as "bacterial SSU rRNA". It matches the Rfam family "Bacterial small subunit ribosomal RNA", at positions 8 to 796 of the family's 1533-position model. The record is from RNAcentral.